UCAUGUAGUACAUUGAAUCAUCAUCACAUACAUUUCAACUUAACAUGCAUCAUAUAGUCAUUCUUAUCUCAUAUGGUAUAUUGUAUCAACAUGAUAUACAUUACAAAAUAGUAUACAUCAUGUGCUCAUUCUUAUCUCAUAUAGUAUGCAGAAACAACAUCAUAUACAUGGUGACAUUAUGUAUUCAUUAUCAUCUCAUAUUGUCACGACUCGGUACUCCCAUCGAGCCUAUGACAACCGUCGCGAUGUCUCGACUGACAUUCAUUACCCGGAAUGCCAACCGAAACCUCACAAGGCUUUCGCAUCAGUUUUACUUCUCCCCUGUGAGCAACAAUUAUUAGAUACCAUGUUUUAAAGAAAUAUAGACCAAUUUCAAAUCAAAAACAAUUAAAAAGUAAUUUCUACUACACAAGGGGUAUUUUGGUCAUUUUACCCAAAAUUUUUGAACUUUGGUAAAAAUAUGAUACACGAGUAAUAAGCAUCCAUUUCAUGUCUAAAAAUAAGUUUCGUUGUCUAAUUCAUCAAUUUAAAGUGAAAUUAUAGCUAUUCAAAUUAAAUCAAAAUAUUAAAGAAAAUAUUCUAUUUUCUUAUAAAAUAAUAUUUAUAGAACUCUGCGUAAAUAAUUUUGUAGCGUAAAAGCAAAAUAAAUUCAUACAUAUAGUGGCACACACAGCCAGGUAUACAAAAUAUUCUACAAUGACAUGUGGGCCCCCAAAAUAAACAUAUAUGUACAAGACUAUAGACUUGCAAUUUCUAAGGGUGCAAACCCAAAAGCAAACCCUCGACAUAAUCAGCGAUCUACAGACUGCCUUGAGCUUGAAAUGGGUGAAAAGAAGGGGUGAGUUUUUAUAAACCCAAUGAGUAAGCAAGAUUUCAUCUAAAACAUCUAAAGCCGAGUAAAUGGAGACAAUUUAAAAUAUCUCAUCAUAAUAUGAUUCAUAACAUCAAAUCUCAUUUCAUUUCAUAAAAAUCAACAAGGCUUAUGAUUCUCGUAAAAACUUGCACUCGGUGACACCUUGCGUCGAGGCAUCCAACAAAGUCCGCUAAGGCUGUUAAAACAACAUAUACACAUAAAAAAAGUUUUUACGUUUAAAACAUAGUCGUUCCUUGGCGUUGGCUGAGUUUCACCUUCACGUGGUGGUUCGGCGUGAAGUGAACUCUAACGUUACCUUAGGAGAUACCCUCUGUGCCUCUCGUACUAAGGUAAAAUAUAACGAGGUUUACCGUGCCCUCUCAUAGGCUGGUCCACAGAAACCCGCCCACUGCAGUAAGUUAAAUACAUAACCCACCAAAUCAAUAAAAUUUCGACAGCAUAACAUGGCUAAUAUAAUAUUACCAGCCUAUCAAGGCAAAGCAAAACAGUUCAUAUAUUCCACACAAACACAAAUCUAGCCAUGCUUUCCAUCACAUUGUCAUAAGCCAUCAAUUCAAACCAUAUGUCAAAACAUAUAUAUCACACAAGUAUAUAGUCUCCACUUACUCAAUUUCCAAAAUCAGUAUUCAAUUUCAAAACAAGUUAUAAAUCUCAUUUUAUUUAAUCAACACUUCAAUUAUAAAACAUAAUAGUUUGCAAUUUAAAUUCAUUUUUUCUUUAAAACAUAAAAACGAGUAUAACUACUUUAGAUAGCUAAGAUGAAAGUUUGAUUACUCACAAUAGCAGGAGUUUGGAGUACUCCUAUUCUUGGUCCUCAAGUAUGAUAUCUUUACUCUUAUUAGAAGGCUCACCACCUAUACAUAAUACACGACACGUAAUUCAAUAUAUUUGUGUCAAACCAUCAUAAGACUAUUUCAGGCUCUAUAUGAAUGCAUGAAAUGGAAUAAAAAUUGUUCGAAUAAUCACUUAAAGACGGUGAUCUAUGUGGGUUCAAUUAUGGUCGAACUAAACUUGUAUUUGACCUAACUCAAGCUAUACACUGUUGAAUUAACCAAAACAUCCGAUUCAACUUCAAAUAUAUUCAUUACACUUCCAAUAUUCUAAAUACACCAAAGUACCUCAAUAAGCUUGAUUGUAACUUAAUUCAUUAUAACCGAAAUUCAUUCUGAUUCUGGACUAACUUGCUAAUCAGUGUCAACAUGGUCCAAUAAAUCCAUCUAUAUCAUUAGGAAUCAAAUCCAAGUCCAUUCACUAUGAUUUUCUCAUUAUUGUUCAAAUCGUUUACUAAAGGAACCAUACGUUUCCAUAACCGUUUUCAAUAUCCGGCACCAUAAUUCAUCUAAUACAAGCUAAAUAAUAUGAGAUAUAACAAGAUUCAUCAUCAAUGUGUACUUUAGUAAAUUCGGCCCAGGAAGGUUUGAUGAAGAACAUGUGGUUUUCAUGCUUGUUUUUCACACCGAGUAUCACAAAACAACUAAAAACGCGUAUAUAGCAUGAAAUCUAACAAAACUCGUGAUCAAAACCUCUCCCCCUAGGUUCGGCCAGCAAACUUUCCUUCAUGAAAUCUUGAGUUUCAACUAUGGAAAAUGAAAAGGAGAGCAUGGGAAAGGUAGAUCUUAAGCUAAAAUUGAAACAUCUUACCUUUAAUUGCUUUGUCCUCUGAAAUUCCACAAAUUUCUCUUGAAUUUUCCUCUCUAGGGUUUGUUUCCAUUCUUUUCUCUUUGUUUCCUUGCUUGGCCG
RNAcentral lists this long non-coding RNA (2614 nucleotides) under Theobroma cacao (cacao). Its description in RNAcentral is "long non-coding RNA (TCAC_LNC001137)". Lineage: Eukaryota; Viridiplantae; Streptophyta; Magnoliopsida; Malvales; Malvaceae. The record is from RNAcentral.